Dermochelys coriacea (leatherback sea turtle) is the source of this 184-nucleotide long non-coding RNA. RefSeq lists it as uncharacterized. Lineage: Eukaryota; Metazoa; Chordata; Testudines; Dermochelyidae. The record is from RefSeq and is a predicted model, not a curated record. The transcript has 2 exons.
GAGCACAAGCUUUCGUGAGCCACAGCUCACCCCAUCGGAUGCACCCAAUUUGCAUCCGAUGGGGUGGGCUGUGGCUCACGAGGGCUUGUGCUCUAGUGGAUUUGUUGGUCUCUGGGGUGCCACAGGUACUCCUUUUCUUUUUGCGAAUACAGACUAACACGGCUGCUACUCUGAAACCUCUCCU